RNA transcript from Hyaena hyaena (striped hyena), 5077 nucleotides. It is a transcript of the gene named xyloside xylosyltransferase 1, with no coding region annotated. The transcript is spliced from 8 exons. The record is from RefSeq and is a predicted model, not a curated record. Lineage: Eukaryota; Metazoa; Chordata; Mammalia; Carnivora; Hyaenidae.
UGCGCGCCGCCCUGGCCACUAAGCGGCUGCCGGGGUGCCGGACGCGGCCCCAGCUCCCCGGCCGCGGAGUCCGCCGGCGCGCGGCGCAUGGGUCGGCGAGGCGGGCCCCGGUGCGCUCGGGCCAUGGCGCGCCUGGGCGCCGUGCGCUCCCACUACUGCGCCCUGCUGCUGGCCGCCGCGCUGGCCGUCUGCGCCUUCUACUACCUGGGCUCGGGCCGGGAGACCUUCUCCAGCGCCACCAAGAGGCUGAAGGAGGCCCGCGCCGGGGCCCCCGCCGCACCCUCGCCGCCCGCGCCGGAGGUGGCGCGGGGCUCCGUGGCGCCGGCCCCCGGCGCCAAGGCCAAGAGCCUGGAGGGCGGCGGGGCCGUGCCGGUGGACUAUCACCUGCUGAUGAUGUUCACCAAGGCGGAACACAACGCCGCGCUGCAGGCCAAGGCCCGCGUCGCGCUCCGCUCCCUGCUGCGCCUCGCCAAGUUCGAGGCGCACGAGGUGCUGAACCUGCACUUCGUGAGCGAGGAGGCCAGCCGGGAGGUGGCCAAGGCCCUGCUGCGAGAGCUGCUGCCGCCCGCCGCCGGCUUCAAGUGCAAGGUCGUCUUCCACGAUGUCGGCGUGCUGACGGACAAGCUCUUCCCGGUGGUGGAGGCCAUGCAGAAGCACUUCAGUGCCGGCUCAGGGACCUACUACAGCGACUCCAUCUUCUUCCUCUCGGUCGCCAUGCACCAGAUUAUGCCCAAAGAGAUCCUGCGGAUAAUUCAGCUGGACCUCGACCUCAAGUACGAGACCAACAUCCGGGAAUUGUUUGAGGAGUUUGACAAUUUCCUGCCAGGCGCCGUCAUUGGCAUAGCAAGAGAGAUGCAGCCAGUGUACAGGCACGCGUUCUGGCAGUUCCGCCAGGAGAACCCCAAGACCCGGGUGGGGGGCCCGCCCCCCGAGGGGCUCCCCGGCUUCAACAGCGGGGUGAUGCUGCUGGACCUGGAGGCGCUGCGCCAGUCCGCCCUCUACGGCCGCCUGCUGGAGCCGGCGCGGGUGCGGCAGCUGGCGGACAAGUACCGCUUCCGCGGCCACCUCGGCGACCAGGACUUCUUCACCGUGGUCGGCAUGGAGCACCCCGAGCUCUUCCACGUGCUGGACUGCACCUGGAACCGCCAGCUGUGCACCUGGUGGAGGGACCACGGCUACAGCGACGUCUUCGAGGCCUACUUCCGGUGCGAGGGCCACGUCAAGAUCUACCACGGGAACUGCAACACCCCCAUCCCGGAGGCCUAGGCGCGCCCUCGCCCCCGCGCCCUCGGGUCCCCUGGAAGCCGAGGGGCGCCUCCCAUACACCCUCCCCGGGGAUGUCCUUCCGAUGACCGCUGCGCCGUCGCACCCCGCAGGUCGCUGGCCCGAGGCCACCCGGUGGGGCCGGCCUGGCACUGCUGGUGCGCGGGGCCCUUUCUCUCCAGGGGGCCAGGAGGCCAGGCAUCGACAUCUUCCCGUUGGGCUGGGAAGCGGGCAUUUAAAGAGAAGAAAGGAAAUGGGGCUCCGUGCCCUCAGCCCCCAAAGCAUGGAAAUGCCCGGCCUUUCUUAGACCAGAUAUAAAUUUAUCUCAAAUCGACAUGCUUCCAUUUUGCAGGAAAGAACAAAACAGUACUGCUGUAGAUCCGGGGAGCUCCAAACGAGCCAGCCAGGGUUUUAUCCGCCAGCCCAGAGUUUGAGCAUCCGGAUGAAUACCAGCCUUCUGCAUGUGCUCCCCGGGAGGCUGCGAGCUCGUCCGCCCUGCCCGCAUGACCUCUGUAGGUUGAAAGGUCACCGCCUCUGCGGGGAGAGAGCCUUUAUGGCCAGCAGUGGCCCACAGAGAAAACCGGGCUCAUUAUUUUAGCCUCCAGGCUUUUCUCUCCCAACGACAUCACAGAACCUCAUUAUCCCUUAUUCAUCCAGGCAGCUUCAGGUGACCGGACUGUGCUCGGAAAUCAGAUCCGCCAUCAAAGAACAGAGCUCGGCCACCCACAAGGACACGCAGUAGAGUUGUCUGGACGGGAAAGACUCAUUCCGAAGAGGAGCCCAGCAGUGUAUGCGCAUAAACGUGUGGCUCGGAAGGGGUGUCACUCAUAGGCUGAUAAGCCUUCAGUCUCUGUUUAAAAAGUCGUCCUGUGACUUUCUUAUUGUAUCAUAUCAGACCCUGUACCUUAGAGGGAAUUCGGCUCUUCUCUGAAUGAGUUCCCUCGAAAGGUGCAGACACCAGGUCCAUUUUGUCUAGUCCAGCGGAGUUCCUGGGGGGGGCGGGGGGGGGGGAGAGGGGACGACAACUGCGGUUGGAUUUUGACGACUGCAGUUGGAUUUUCAUCUUUUUAUUUCAGUUUCGUUUACUUUUUUUUAUUUCUUUUCACCAUGAGUGAGAACAGCUAAUAAAUCAUUUGAGAACACAAUGAUUAUGUGGUUUGUCCUCUGAUCACAGCUUGCUGCUACCUGAAGGUUCCGAAUCAAGAGCGUAAUCGGUGUCAUUCAGAGCUCUCCCCACCCCCACCCCCUGCUCCCCGGCCCGUCCAGGUGAUCAAGCUAAAUGUGCUCACCGUGGGUCUCUGUGGACCACGGAGGAGCAUGUCCGAGGCAGGAGGAGGGAGGGCGCCAGGGCUGUGUCACUCGAGAAUCAUUGCAUUGUGGGCAUAGGCGGGCCCGUCCGCUCCUGGGAGCAAAAACAUUGCCUUCCCUUCCCACUUCCCAGCCCAGGCUCCCUGGUUACAUCAUCCCCUGACGAAGCGGAGCACAGUCCUCUCCUGCCUCUCUGCUCUGACAGAACUGGCGGUCUGAUAUUUUUGUUGGCCAUACCACCCUGGAGAGCCCGUGUCCGGGAAGCCAGGGGUCCUUGGAUAAGCCCUUCCCCUCUGGACUACAAGGGGCUACGGGACUGGACGCGAUCUCCAAGCACCUCUCUGCUCCCAGCACACGUGUCGUACGCAUCCAUCUCUGUUCACGCGUGCAUGUGGCGGGGAGUCUAAAUCAAAUGCAAGACCUCCGGACCUCAACUCAUCAUUUACACAACUUGGAAAUUACGACCAUUCAAACGGAGACUCACUCACAAGGUACAGUUGGCAUGACUUUUGCCCCAGUCUGAACAGGCGAAGUGAGGGACGCAGACAAACUAUAGGAGGUCUUUAAAUCCAGAGAGACUCCGUGCCAUCCACGAGCCGCAGCCCUCUGCUUUUGGCCUCUUUGUCUCCCAAAGAGCCUCCCAGGCAGAGCCACUUUGUAGACGGACCCGUAACCCCACGCAUCUCUCCCUGGGCAGUACUGAGUCUGGAGCCCCCAGAGAGGGGGCUGGUGGGGCCGCCCUGUGGACUGGCCUGCCACUCCCUGAGGUACUUGCAAAGGCCAACAAACCUUCUGGAGGGAAGGCUUCUCUAACUGGGUGUGCUCCCAGUGUCUCCACGUGUGGCCCCGCUCCAACGGAAAUGCGUCCACCCCAUACAGGUGAGGGCAACCUCACCGAGGGCCCUGCGUUCAGGGCCGGAGGGGCCUUUCCACGCUUUCCCCGACAGCCUCCAGAACAUGCAGAGAAGCCGCCGACUGAGCUUCAGAGUCUCCACCAGUUUCUGUCCUGACUGGUGAGCUCCUCAGGGCAGGGAUGGUGUCGUCACCUGUGGCUGUCCCCCAGCACACGCUCAAGUGGGGCCUGUGAGGACGCCAGGUGCGGACAGCCUGGGUGCUUGGGCCGGUCUGUUCGGUGUGGGGGGUAAGCGAAGCCGGAAGUUCUCAACAUGUCCCUUCCACCUGCUCUGCCCUGACAUCCUCACCGUCGCUUCCCACCUCGAGCGUGGAGGGAUCUAUGCACAGAAGAUCCCGGGCACACUGACGCCGCUCGGCAGGAAGGAGCAGGGCCUGGCCAGACGGGUGAGGUGGCCUCCGGAGGACCUGUGCCCGUGCCGGGGAUGAUGAGAGCUGGGGCUGCCCACUGCUCACUCCAGGGGAAAAGCCAGCAAUUCUGUGCAGACGGCGUGGGCUAUGGAGGAGGGUGACCUCAGAUGACACCCCAGUUGUGACGCUCUUCAUUUGUGCAAGUCACAGCAGGAGAGUCCGAAACCUGCGGUGGAAGCCACUUGGUAUCGAAAGACAAGGAAGUGGGAAAUGUAUGAAGGGCAGAGCGCGCCUGCUUGACUUGAGUCUGUGGGAUGGGCCUUCAUGAGAAGAGCGUCUUCCAUCCAGAUCCAGGCGUCCUGUUCAACAAGCUGUGAGGAUGAAGGAGCAAGUACGGGGUCCUCCUCUUUCUCCCCUCGACGCAGACUCUCCCACAGCCCCGUCUGGGCCACCCUCCCUCCGUGCCCUGGCUUCCUCUCUCCUUCCCCACCUCCCGGUCAUCCGGGAAGACGCCUCUGGCACAGGUGACACUGUAUACCCCUCUGCAAUGCAGAGUUUCGCAUCGCAAGCGCUUCUCGUAAGAGAAAGCAGUCACACUGAGCGGUGAGCUCUGUCUCCCCAGAGGCAGGAAGGCUCCAGAACGUUGGAGCUUCUGGGGCCUCUGACUGGGAACAUCUGAUAACCCCUGGCCUGGCCUUCGAGGGAGGCAGGGGCCCCUUGGCCAGAGGCUUUGAGGCUGUGAAGCUGGACGACGGGUCAAGGAACAAGAAGUGCUAGGGACCAUUUUAAGAAGAGUCCUGAGGGAGGGCCUCCGAGCCCGAGAGGCUGUAAUGUACGGCCAUGAGGGGAUUGUGCAGAGAGCUUAAUGUGGCUGGGGAUGGGGCUGGGAUCACCUUUAUUCUUUUUCAAGAAACACAAAUACAGACUGACCUUGCUCUUUUGUGUAGUCAUGACAACCGCUAUGUUUCAUUGGAUGCCACAAAGGCUGAGACUGGGUCACGCAGGACCCGGGGCUUUGUUGCAUAGACAACACCGUAAUCCUGCAGCCUCCGUCAUCACCUGGCUCUGCCUGGAGCCUCUGUGCUGCUUGAAGGUGGGCCUCUGGCCUCCUCGAGGUCCCAGCGUCCGACACGGUGCCCGACACAUUGUGAGUGCUCGUUGAAUCUUUGUUGUUCAACUGCACGAAUACAUGGAAACUGGGCACACCUUCCCAGGGAAGAAAAAUGGCACCCGUGGGUUUGGG